This 71-nucleotide transfer RNA is filed under the name Lachnospiraceae bacterium. RNAcentral describes it as "tRNA-Gly". It matches the Rfam family "tRNA". Rfam says of the family: Transfer RNA (tRNA) molecules are approximately 80 nucleotides in length. Their secondary structure includes four short double-helical elements and three loops (D, anti-codon, and T loops). Lineage: Bacteria; Bacillati; Bacillota; Clostridia; Lachnospirales; Lachnospiraceae. The record is from RNAcentral.
GCAGGCGUGGUUCAAUGGUAGAACACCAGCCUUCCAAGCUGGUGACGUGGGUUCGAUUCCCAUCACCUGCU